UUUCCGUAGGUGAACCUGCGGAAGGAUCAUUAUUGUAUAACCGAGGUGCGAGGGCUGUCGCUGACCUGACAGGUUGUGCACGCCAGAGAGCCCUGACACAUAUCUAUCUCACACUUCUGUGCACCGCCGCGCGAGUACCACGUCGGCUUGUUAGGUGGGGGGCUUACGUUUUCCCACAAUAUUUGAAUACAGUGUAGAAUGUACUUCUUGUUUUUGCGUUUAUGCAAUCACUACAAAUAUCAAAAAAGGAUCUCUUGGCUCACACAUCGAUGAAGAACG
Molecule: unclassified non-coding RNA, 279 nt
Filed under: plant metagenome
Description: partial contains small subunit ribosomal RNA, internal transcribed spacer 1, and 5.8S ribosomal RNA
Source: RNAcentral